AGCUGCGAAGGCAUCUUCAGCAGCUGGAAAGAACUUCGGUCAGGGAUGAGCUCGCGGCCUAUCAGCUAGUUGGUGAGGUAAUGGCUCACCAAGGCGUCGACGGGUAGCCGGCCUGAGAGGGUGACCGGCCACACUGGGACUGAGACACGGCCCAGACUCCUACGGGAGGCAGCAGUGGGGAAUAUUGCACAAUGGGCGCAAGCCUGAUGCAGCAACGCCGCGUGAGGGACGACGGCCUUCGGGUUGUAAACCUCUUUUAGCAGGGAAGAAGCGAAAGUGACGGUACCUGCAGAAAAAGCACCGGCUAACUACGUGCCAGCAGCCGCGGUAAUACGUAGGGUGCAAGCGUUAUCCGGAAUUAUUGGGCGUAAAGAGCUCGUAGGCGGUUUGUCGCGUCUGCUGUGAAAACUGGGGGCUCAACCCCCAGCCUGCAGUGGGUACGGGCAGACUAGAGUGCGGUAGGGGAG
This 467-nucleotide ribosomal RNA is filed under the name uncultured bacterium. RNAcentral's name for it is "bacterial SSU rRNA". It matches the Rfam family "Bacterial small subunit ribosomal RNA", at positions 179 to 659 of the family's 1533-position model. The record is from RNAcentral.